UUCGCAAUGCCCGAAAGGGUGACGAAGCGACGCCGCGUGGGUGAGGAAGGCCUUCGGGUUGUAAAGCCCUGUCAGGAGUUAAGAAAUGUAGACUCGCUAAUAUCGGGUCUAUUUGACAAAGGCUCCAAAGGAAGCCACGGCUAACUCUGUGCCAGCAGCCGCGGUAAUACAGAGGUGGCAAGCGUUGUUCGGAAUUAUUGGGCGUAAAGAGCACGUAGGUGGAUUUGUAAGUCAGACGUGAAAGCCUUCUGUUCAACGGAAGAAUUGCAUCUGAAACUGCGAGUCUUGAGUGUAGGAGGGGAGAAUGGAACUUCUGGUGGAGCGGUGAAAUGCGUAGAUAUCAGAAGGAACGCCGGCGGCGAAAGCGAUUCUCUGGCCUAUUACUGACACUCAGUGUGCGAAAGCUAGGGGAGCAAACGGGAUUAGAUACCCCGGUAGUCCUAGCCGUAAACGAUGGGCACUAAGUAGAGGGGUUUU
Molecule: ribosomal RNA, 477 nt
Filed under: Candidatus Scalindua brodae
Lineage: Bacteria; Pseudomonadati; Planctomycetota; Candidatus Brocadiia; Candidatus Brocadiales; Candidatus Scalinduaceae
Also listed under: 1 other name
Description: bacterial SSU rRNA
Rfam family: Bacterial small subunit ribosomal RNA
Source: RNAcentral